CACUCGUGAAAACACGCCAAACUAAAGUCUCGCUGUUGACACAAAUACUCACUCUGGUGUUUGCCUGAGCUCCGGGACUGUUUGGUCAGG
Long non-coding RNA from Sinocyclocheilus grahami, 90 nucleotides. RefSeq lists it as uncharacterized. The transcript is spliced from 3 exons. The record is from RefSeq and is a predicted model, not a curated record. Lineage: Eukaryota; Metazoa; Chordata; Actinopteri; Cypriniformes; Cyprinidae.